GGGGAAUAUUGCACAAUGGAGGAAACUCUGAUGCAGCGACGCCGCGUGAACGAUGAAGGCCUUCGGGUCGUAAAGUUCUGUCCUAGGGGACGAUAAUGACGGUACCCUAGGAGGAAGCCCCGGCUAACUACGUGCCAGCAGCCGCGGUAAUACGUAGGGGGCAAGCGUUGUCCGGAUUUAUUGGGCGUAAAGGGUUCGCAGGCGGCCUUUUAAGUCAGAUGUGAAAUCCUAUGGCUUAACCAUAGUAAGCAUUUGAAACUGGAAGGCUUGAGUUAAGGAGAGGAAAGUGGAAUUCCUAGUGUAGCGGUGAAAUGCGUAGAUAUUAGGAGGAAUACCAGUGGCGAAGGCGACUUUCUGGACUUAUACUGACGCUGAGGAACGAAAGCGUGGGGAGCAAAC
RNAcentral lists this ribosomal RNA (399 nucleotides) under uncultured bacterium. RNAcentral's name for it is "bacterial SSU rRNA". It matches the Rfam family "Bacterial small subunit ribosomal RNA", at positions 356 to 773 of the family's 1533-position model. The record is from RNAcentral.